GCUGGCGUAGCUCAAUGUGGUAGAGCAACUGACUUGUAAUCAGUAGGUUGCUCUUUCAACUCCUGUCACCAGCU
Molecule: transfer RNA, 74 nt
Filed under: Nostoc sp. FACHB-152
Lineage: Bacteria; Bacillati; Cyanobacteriota; Cyanophyceae; Nostocales; Nostocaceae
Description: tRNA-Thr
Rfam family: tRNA
About the family: Transfer RNA (tRNA) molecules are approximately 80 nucleotides in length. Their secondary structure includes four short double-helical elements and three loops (D, anti-codon, and T loops).
Source: RNAcentral